AACGUAGGAGACAAACGUUAUCCGGAGUUACUGGGCGUAAAGGGCGUGUAGGUGGUUUCGUAAGUCUGGCGUGAAAUUUUUCGGCUUAACCGGGAAAGGUCGUCGGAUACUGCGGAGCUAGAGGACGGUAGAGGCGUGUGGAAUUCCGGGUGUAGUGGUGAAAUGCGUAGAGAUCCGGAGGAACACCAGCGGCGAAGGCGACACGCUGGGCCGUACCUGACACUGAUGCGCGACAGCAUGGGGAGCAAACAGG
RNAcentral lists this ribosomal RNA (253 nucleotides) under uncultured bacterium. Its description in RNAcentral is "partial 16S ribosomal RNA". It matches the Rfam family "Bacterial small subunit ribosomal RNA", at positions 524 to 776 of the family's 1533-position model. The record is from RNAcentral.